Molecule: long non-coding RNA, 1970 nt
Organism: Mustela lutreola (European mink)
Lineage: Eukaryota; Metazoa; Chordata; Mammalia; Carnivora; Mustelidae
Exons: 3
Source: RefSeq, a predicted model, not a curated record
GUUCGUUCUUUGGGUGUGAUGGCCGCCGCCAGGGCAGGAAUUGGGGGAUUCUGUUAUUCCGGACGGCUUGGGGGGCUCUCUGUACCAUCAGAAGGCCACCGACAGCCCCCAGGUUACCGAGGGCCUGUUAAUUGUGUGCCAGGGAGGUGGGGAGCGGUGUGUUGGGUUAAGCUUGGGGCCUGGUGUCGCUAGAUCGGCCUGGGGGCCUCUGGCAGCUAAGGGCUAGAUGAGGGGCUCCAACCUGCCAGACCCUAGCCGUCUGGGCUUUCAGCCUUCAAAAUAUCUGGGUGGCCAGCGCCUAAGCAUUUUGGAGCAUGCCUUGUUUUGUUGUGGUUUGUAUCCUGCACCUCUCCCACUUUUCUUACAGUGUUGUACUGUGUUCCUGUAGUCGUUGAUGCUCAGGACCCUAUUUGAGGUUAGGUUGGGCUUGUUUUCUUGGGUCUGGUGGGAUUUGUGCAACAGGUGAAAUUUGGGGAAGUCUGAAGGGCAAUAUCCUGAGUGUUGUCUGUCUUGUUUUCGGUGUGAGAAACUGCGUGAGUGGUGAACGUGCCCCUGAACGUGUGCUUCACCUUCUCUUGCGUGUGGUGAACCUUGCCCCUGUUUCCUAAUGCCCACAGGCCGUGCUCCGCAGUUCCUCCUUAUGAAAUGCCUUUCUGUUAACUUGGAUGUGUUCUUAAACCUUUGUGAGCCUCUGGAAGACUGCUUUGCAGUUGGUCGUAGAACAGUAUUGUAGAACAGUAUUGCAAAAAGUGAAUGUGAAACAAAUACCCUUAGUUCUAGGGAGCAAGCCCUUUGACCUUAGUGGUGCUGUGGGGUGAUUUGGUUACUUAAGGGAAUCAGAUUUGCUUUUAGAUGCCUUACCUUACUCUUGGCUCCCAGGGUUCCUCUGCCUGUUGGUACACUUUGAUCUUACUUGUUUUUCCAUACUCUCUCAGCUUGAGUCAAAAUGGGACACUGUGUACUGACAUGUAACUGCAUGUAUCAGAAUCUCUGGAUAACACCAAAUUGCCAAGCAGAGAGCCCUUCUGGACAUUUGUGAGUAGACACAUCUCCAAGAAAUGACAGUGCCAGAGCACUUGAACAGGGUUGGGGAGGAACAGAGAGAGUGGGAGAGAGAGAAUCUUAAGCAGGAUCCAUGUGCAUCAUGGAGCCCAGUGCAGGGCUUGAGAUCAUGAUCUGAGCUGAAUCAAGAGUUGGGUGCUCAAUGGACUGAACCUCCCAGAUGUCCCCAAUUUUUUUCAUUCUAACACAAGAUUUAAAAAAGAAAACUAAUGGUAAAGUAAAUGAAACUGACUUGUAGUCUUCUACCUGAAGAGGAAAACUUGGAAAGAACAUAAUUUAUAGAAAUGUAAAAGUUUGAGAUAUGUAAUUUUGAGUUUUAUCAAUCAGUAAGAGAAGAUAGAAAGGCUAAGCCAUGGUUUGACAGUUCACAAAAGAAAAAACAAUAAUGUCAUUGCAUAACGUAGCAGAUUAUGUUUUCCAAAGAUGACCACAGCAAUAUCUCCCAGCUGACAUGUUCUUCUGCAGUGUGAUUGAUGUCACUCUGUCAUCAAAACGUGGCAUCUCUCCACUUCUUUAAUUUUGAGUAGGCUUUUUGACUGCUUAGACCAAAAGAACAUGGUAGAAUGGAUGAUAUCCUAGUUACAGGUGUUGUUCUUACCUCACCUGGCAAUUUCUUCCUGCCUUUUGGAACCCACCCACUAAGUAAGAGAUGUAAUUACCUUCAAAUUACUAUGUUCUAAGAAGGCCAAAGUCAUCUAAUGAACUCCUGGAGGAUAAAACAUCUGGAGAGGCCAAGGAGCAUUGAGGAACCAGACAUGUAAGUGAAGAAGCCAUUUUGGAAAUGAAUCCUCCAGCCCCACCUGCCAUUGGCUGUUGCUUUGUAAAUCAGAUGAACCACCCAGGAGAGCCCUUCUCAAUUUUUGGCCCACAAAAUCAUGAGCAAAAUAAAAUGGUUUCUUUUAAACUUA